This 427-nucleotide ribosomal RNA is filed under the name uncultured bacterium. RNAcentral describes it as "partial 16S ribosomal RNA". It matches the Rfam family "Bacterial small subunit ribosomal RNA", at positions 354 to 796 of the family's 1533-position model. The record is from RNAcentral.
GUGGGGAAUAUUGGGCAAUGGGGGAAACCCUGACCCAGCAACGCCGCGUGAGGGAAGAAGGCCUAACGGUUGUAAACCUCUGUCAUAUGGGAAGAAGGAAUGACAGUACCAUAUGAGGAAGCUCCGGCUAACUCCGUGCCAGCAGCCGCGGUAAUACGGAGGGUGCAAGCGUUAUCCGGAUUCACUGGGUUUAAAGGGUGCGUAGGCGGGUUGAUAAGUCAGUGGUGAAAGCUCCGGGCUUAACUUGGAAACUGCCAUUGAUACUGUCAAUCUUGAAUGUCGUAGAGGUAAGCGGAAUGUUGCAUGUAGCGGUGAAAUGCUUAGAUAUGUUACAGAACACCGGUGGCGAAGGCGGAUCUCUGGAACGCAACUGACGCUGAGGCGCGAAAGUCGGGGGAGCAAACAGGAUUAGAAACCCGGGUAGUCC